Long non-coding RNA from Rhinolophus ferrumequinum (greater horseshoe bat), 685 nucleotides. RefSeq lists it as uncharacterized. Lineage: Eukaryota; Metazoa; Chordata; Mammalia; Chiroptera; Rhinolophidae. The transcript has 3 exons. The record is from RefSeq and is a predicted model, not a curated record.
AAAUGAGUGUGAGCAGUCUUCACCGAGGGCAUUUGUAAUUACCACAAACCCCAUUCUGCACCGAAGCUCCACAGCUAGUCACGGCCAAGGAACGGGCACAGCCUCUACUCCAACCAGGGGACUUAAACGUUGCCUCAGAUCAAUUUCCAGGUCCAUUCUAGAAUCUUCUCGAACGGCCCAGUGGACCUCCACCCCCACCACCAGCUCUACCCGCCAAGCCAAUCUGCGCCCUGUGCCCGGUUGCCAGGGGAAAAGGAGACUCGAGCCGACAUUAGCCUCGAGGCUCACUCCAGAUCCCCGCACCCACGGGGUGGAGGGCGGGAGAUAGCAGACCAUGAUCUUAGUGAGUCAAGGUUAUGCUUGUGUUACCUCAUAGCACUGAAGAGAAAACAGAUUGAGAACGGUUGCACUGGACUGUCCAUUCCUUGAGGGCAGGGCCAUAUCUUCACCUCUGCAUCUCCAGUGUCCAGCACUUAACCUGAUCUUACUGGAAGCCCAGGCCCUAUGUGAAGCUUAAUCAGUGUUUAUUAAGUGCCUGCUAUUUUAUUUCUGGGGACUCUGAAAUUUUAUGAUCUUCUUACCCCUCAGAAAUGGACUCAACUCAGCCAUAAAAAUGAACGAAAUCUUGCCAUCUGCCACAACAUGGAUGGACCUAGAAGGUAUUAUGCUGAAUGGAGUAAGUCAG